CUGGUGCCGACCGUAUCCCUCGCUCCAAAAUUUUCAAACCCUAACCCUAUUUCAAAUUCCACGCUCUCUCCUCUCCAUCUGAUGCCUCAUUUGGUCAUGGAAGUCCGCCUCCUCGUCCUGUCCACGGGUGACGGAAAUAACCAUCAUAACGGUGCCGUUAUUUUUAAAGCAAGAACCGAAACGGAUCUUCAUACUUGGGCCGCUUGGCCAUCAUCGAUGGCCGCAUGCUUACUAGAAGACAAACACAUCGUCGAAUGUUUUCUAACUCUCCUUCGCUCACGGUUGUACACCUUCUAAAGCCCUAAAGCUAACCCUCCACUCCUCUCCCGGGGACACCUCCGAAGCCCUCCCCCAUCUCCAUCCAUGGCCACCAAAAAGCGCAAGGCCGACCAAGAAGACGACUUCCUCUCCGCCCACAACAACGAUUCCGAUCACCAAUUCCAAAUCCUAGACUCGGCCACCGCGGCGGAGGGGGCCGCGGCGCCACCGGUGGAGGAAGACGAGGCCGACGACGAGGAUGAGGACGUGGGGAUGCUCCUGGAACCGCUGACGAAGGAGCAGCUGAUCUCUCUCCUUCGGUCCGCCGCCGCCUCCGACCCGGCCACCCUCGCCGAGAUUCACCGCCUCGCUGACCUCGACCCCGCCCACCGGAAGCUCUUCGUCCACGGCCUUGGCUGGGAAACCACCUCCGACGGCCUCCGUGCCGCAUUCGCCAGCUACGGCGAGAUCGAGGACUGCCGCAUCGUCGCCGACAAGGCCACCGGUCGCUCCAAGGGCUACGGCUUCCUCCUCUUUCGCCACCGCCGCUCCGCCCGCCAAGCCCUCCGCCAACCCCAGAAGCUCAUCGACAACCGCAUGACCGCCUGCCAGCUCGCCUCCACCGGGCCCCCCUCCGCGACCUCCCAUCCCCCGCCGCCCCACCAUUACACCGCCUCCUUCAAUCCUAACCCUAACGCCACCCCCCAGGACAACCUCCCGAGGAAGAUCUACGUCGGGAACGUCCACUCCAACAUCGACGGUGCCCGCCUCCACGCCUUCUUCUCCAAAUACGGGGAGAUCGAGGAGGGCCCCAUCGGUUUCGACCGCCAGACCGGGAAGCCCAAGGGGUUCGCCCUGUUCGUCUAUAAAACCGUGGACGGCGCUCGGAGAGCCCUCGAAGAGCCCAACAAGGACUUUGAGGGAUACCUGCUCUACUGCCAGAAGGCAACCGAUAGCAAGGCUAAGGCAACAUCAGGGGCUGCAGCCGUGGCGGCGGCCCUUCCAUCCAAUGCUGCCACCACUCCAGACGCGCCGUUGAGCAUGGGUGGUGCCAAUGGGUCUGGAUAUGGCGGCACGCUGCCGGAUAUGGGUUUGGCGCAACAGGCUGCGAUUUGGGGGCAAGGGCUUCUGGGUCUCGGCGGGACACAAGCCUUUGGACAGGGGAUGCAGCCGAAUGCUGCAGUGCUUGCAAUGCUGGCGGCAGCUGGACAGAAUCCAGGAUCUUUCGGGAUCAAUCCCACCGUGCUUGCGUCACUGAACCCUGCUUUGGCCUCGGCAUUGGGUGCCGGAGGCCAGCAGGCUGUGCCUCCGUCUGCAGCCCCUCAGACAGUGCCGUCACAGAAUUACGGAAUGGGGAACAUGGGGUAUCAGAAUGCUGGGUUUCAGGGACCUCCAGGGUUUCAGGGGCCUCCAGGGUUUCAAGGUCCUCCGGGGUUUCAAGGUCCUCCGGGAUAUCAAGGUACUCAGCUAGGGUCUCAACAGGGUGUUGGUGGAGGUGGGGGUUCUUAUCAGGGUGGGCCUGUUGGACAGGGCCCGAUUCCAAGGCCACCAGUUGGGCAAAUGGGUGGAUAUGCACCGCAUUAGUAGGUUCAACCGUGCAGCAUGGCUUACAUUUCAUCAUUUGAUCUCUGAACUUGUACAUUGAUAGAUGAGGUUCCAUCAACAUUGUGCAUGCUGUAGACACACUCUUGCUGCAUCACUUUUGCUCUGUGAUGGGCGCAAGUACCCAUAAGUUGUGCACCUAUUGGCAUUCGUUCUGAUGGCACCAAAACAGGGGUAUAGGCUGAGGAACAUGGCAUCAUCACUUUACUAGAAUGUGGGCUCUCAGGGGUCUCUAGGUUUCAUGGUCCCCCCACUGGUUUCUCAAUAUAUGGUGUUUUUUCCCCGUUACGUUCUUUUGAGAGAAGGGGGCCUUGUGUGGUGGGUGGUUUGGUGGGGAAUGUAGUUGGUGGUUCAUAUCAGGGGCACCUUUUGUGACAAAGCCCAAUGCCAACCCAAGGGUGGACAUGAACCAAACCAUGUAUCUAGUUCUUGCAAAAAAGUGACAUGACUGCUACAAUAUCAUUCAGGUUCUACUGGAGGGUGGAUUUGGACAGAUCAAUAGCACCAUUCAGUCCAUAUAUCCUGUCUUCCAUCGUCGAUAAAUGAACCUCUAUCCUGUAGAUUCACAAGAUUGAGGAGCUUGGGCGUUAUCUGGUGGUUUCUUUGAAGGGAGUUAGAUUGAAGCAAACAGACUUACAGUUCAUCAACAAUCAAAUCAAUCAUCACCUGGACUCAUGGAAAUGAAGAAACUUAUCCUUUGCUAGCGGUGCUACCUCGAUCAAGUCCAUGCUAUGUGCCUCACGUUUUCCCAAUCAGUUUCCUAAACUGGUUGAAAGGAUGAUAAGAUAUUUUUUAUGGGGAAUGGUCCAGCCGGUCCAAGUUGCUUACUAUUUCUUGGGAUGUUGUAUGUCAACUGCCAUCACAGGGUUUGCUUGGAAUUCCAAUUUGAAGACUGGGUGGGAAGCUUUGUUGAGUAAAUCUGCAGGUAGAUUAACUCUGAGCGAUGAUUGUUUGUGGGCUCGCUUGGUGGCAUCUAAGUAUUCAUUUGCUGGUGAUUGGUCAACCUAUGAACCUAAAAGACAGUGCUCAAGAGUUUGGAAGAUCAUCUCCAUGGUAGGUAAGCAUAUUGCCUUUCAAUUCUGUUGGUCCAAUGGGGAAGGAAGCGUAAUAGAUACUUUCACUGAUCCGCGGUUUAGUUGGAUUCCUAUUUCAAAAGUGGUCAUCACUGUUAAUGUGGAGGUGCUUACCGCCAGUCCUGCAGUGAAGUCUUCCUUCCAUGGCAUUGGGGUAUGGAAUUGCGGCCUUCCCAGAGCUGCUGGAUCAAGAGAUUAUGCAAAUGCCUUGGCCGCUGGAGGAGGCAAGGACUUGGAUCUGUUGCGGAGAACAUUUCAGAAGGCAAGUUUGUGUACAAGAACUUUACAAGAGCAGGUUUUUUCCCACAUCCAUGGUGAAUUCCCGUAUUGCUUGAUUGUGGCUCGCAAUGUACAUAUUGUAGAAGGGUGUAGUUUUUCCUCUGGAAACUUGCUUUGGAAGUGCUUCCCCCUGUUGAUCUACUUCACCAAUUUGGCCUCAGCUAUUCCUUAUGCUCUACUGUCAUGGUGGUGGUGAAUUCCUUGAUUGUGGUUGCCGCACGGUCCUUCGUGUGGCUGUCAAUUGCCCGAGUUGGAAUCAGGCCAAUGCCUUUGUUGAAUCUUCCCUGAUGACUGCUGCUGUUUCUAGUGCUCAAAGUAGAGCUUAUCUAUCUAUUUCUGGCAGAUGUGGAAAUCUCGGAACAAUGUAUAAUCUUCCAGAUUUCACCUCAACAGGUAGCCAGAAUUUUGCAAUGUUUAACAAAAUGUUAAUCAUAUUGAAGAUUUAAUUAAUUAUGUGUAUUUAUAUGUUUAAUGCAUAUUGUUCAUAUU
Non-coding RNA from Elaeis guineensis (African oil palm), 3701 nucleotides. The record is from RefSeq and is a predicted model, not a curated record. NCBI's taxonomy places the organism in Eukaryota, Viridiplantae, Streptophyta, Magnoliopsida, Arecales, Arecaceae.